RNAcentral lists this ribosomal RNA (305 nucleotides) under uncultured bacterium. RNAcentral's name for it is "bacterial SSU rRNA". It matches the Rfam family "Bacterial small subunit ribosomal RNA", at positions 334 to 637 of the family's 1533-position model. The record is from RNAcentral.
UUCUCCUACGGGGGGCAGCAGUGAGGAAUAUUGGUCAAUGGCCGGAAGGCUGAACCAGCCAUGCCGCGUGAAGGUCAGUGCCCUAUGGGCGUUAAACUUCUUUUGUGCGGGAGCAAUAAUGGUCACGUGUGGCCAGACGAGAGUACCGUACGAAUAAGCAUCGGCUAACUCCGUGCCAGCAGCCGCGGUAAUACGUAGGUGGCAAGCGUUAUCCGGAUUUAUUGGGCGUAAAGGAAACGCAGGCGGUCUUUUAAGUCUGAUGUGAAAGCCUUCGGCUUAACCGGAGGAGUGCAUUGGAAACUGGG